AGCCCUAAGGUGUUUUCACAUGUAAGAUUGCAAAUCUUAAGACGCAGACUAACCCUCUGCUAGGGCUU
RNAcentral lists this transfer RNA (68 nucleotides) under Petroschmidtia toyamensis. RNAcentral's name for it is "tRNA-Cys". Lineage: Eukaryota; Metazoa; Chordata; Actinopteri; Perciformes; Zoarcidae. The record is from RNAcentral.